RNAcentral lists this ribosomal RNA (797 nucleotides) under uncultured bacterium. RNAcentral describes it as "bacterial SSU rRNA". It matches the Rfam family "Bacterial small subunit ribosomal RNA", at positions 195 to 1012 of the family's 1533-position model. The record is from RNAcentral.
UACGGGGGAAAAAUUUAUUGCUAUUAGAUGAGCCUAUAUUAGAUUAGCUAGUUGGUGGAGUAAUAGCCUACCAAGGCAAUGAUCUAUAGCUGAUCUGAGAGGAUGAUCAGCCACACUGGAACUGAGAUACGGUCCAGACUCCUACGGGAGGCAGCAGUGGGGAAUAUUGGACAAUGGGCGAAAGCCUGAUCCAGCCAUGCCGCAUGAGUGAAGGAGGCCUUUGGGUUGUAAAGCUCUUUUAGUGAGGAAGAUAAUGACGGUACUCACAGAAGAAGUCCUGGCUAACUCCGUGCCAGCAGCCGCGGUAAUACGGAGAGGGCUAGCGUUAUUCGGAAUUAUUGGGCGUAAAGGGCGCGUAGGCGGAUUAGUAAGUUAAAAGUGAAAUCCCAAGGCUCAACCUUGGAAUUGCUUUUAAAACUGCUAAUCUAGAGAUUGAAAGAGGAUAGAGGAAUUCCUAGUGUAGAGGUGAAAUUCGUAAAUAUUAGGAGGAACACCAGUGGCGAAGGCGUCUAUCUGGUUCAAAUCUGACGCUGAGGCGCGAAGGCGUGGGGAGCAAACAGGAUUAGAUACCCUGGUAGUCCACGCUGUAAACGAUGAAUGUUAAAUAUGGGAAGUUUUACUUUCUGUAUUACAGCUAACGCGUUAAACAUUCCGCCUGGGGACUACGGUCGCAAGAUUAAAACUCAAAGGAAUUGACGGGGACCCGCACAAGCGGUGGAGCAUGUGGUUUAAUUCGAUGCAACGCGAAAAACCUUACCACUCCUUGACAUGGAAAUUAUACCUAUUCGAAGGGAUAG